UCCGAUAUGGUGUAGUGGCUAACAUUAUCGCCUCUCAUUUCAUGUGCGCGAUAGCCCGGGGUUCGAUUCCCCGUGUCGGAA
Lentinula boryana is the source of this 81-nucleotide non-coding RNA. NCBI's taxonomy places the organism in Eukaryota, Fungi, Basidiomycota, Agaricomycetes, Agaricales, Omphalotaceae. The record is from the annotation of a GenBank genome assembly.